AUUGAACGCUGGCGGCAGGCUUAACACAUGCAAGUCGAACGGCAGCGGAGGCUUGGGCGUGGCGGUGAGGAGGGAAGGGGGGAGGAAGGGAACGGAACGUGCACAGGAGUGGGGGAGAGGGCGGACAAAUCGGGAUGAAUACCGAAAACGAACUACGGGGGAAAGCGGGAGAGGGAGAGGCCCGGGGCUCUUGGAAUGGGCGAUGUCGGAUUAGCUAGUUGGUGGGGUAAAGGCUUACCAAGGCGACGAUCCGUAGCUGGUCUGAGAGGACGACCAGCCACACUGGGACUGAGACACGGCCCAGACUCCUACGGGAGGCAGCAGUGGGGAAUAUUGGACAAUGGGGGCAACCCUGAUCCAGCCAUGCCGCGUGCGGGAAGAAGGCCUUCGGGUUGUAAACUGCUUUUGUUCGGGAAGAAAUCCUCUGGGCUAAUACCCCGGGUGGAUGACGUUACCGGAAGAAUAAGCACCGGCUAACUACGUG
This 484-nucleotide ribosomal RNA is filed under the name uncultured bacterium. RNAcentral's name for it is "partial 16S ribosomal RNA". It matches the Rfam family "Bacterial small subunit ribosomal RNA", at positions 29 to 507 of the family's 1533-position model. The record is from RNAcentral.